Molecule: long non-coding RNA, 742 nt
Organism: Hordeum vulgare subsp. vulgare (domesticated barley)
Lineage: Eukaryota; Viridiplantae; Streptophyta; Magnoliopsida; Poales; Poaceae
Exons: 3
Source: RefSeq, a predicted model, not a curated record
CACAGCUGUUAUUUUCACUUAUUUAGAUGAUAUUGCUCACCAACUGACACUAGUGCUUUUAAUAUGCAGCAUCUUACCUUUAGUUGCCAAUACUAAGGCUGUUAUUAAGCAGGCUGUAUACAAAUUGCCACAAAAGAAGGUGUGGAAAAGACUGCAAGUAGCCAUCAAUAUGUGGAGUUCCAGGGCGAUCCUGGCCCUGGUGAUGAUGCCGAACUGGCCCAGGCCGCCGAGAGCGCCGUAGAAGAGGUCCGAGUUCUCCUCCGGCGAGCAGGUGACGACGUCUCCUCUCCCUGCAUUUGGUUUUCAUUAUGGGACGAUAGAUCAGGUACACCACAUCGGCUACACCAUUGUCAAAUUCGGGUAGGAGUUUCUGUUGUAGUAUGUGUUAGAGCCUCGAUGAGAUAGGGGGAACCUCGGUUUGGGGUUAGUCGUGUCGCUUGGGUCGCCUUAGUUUUGACUUGGUCCAGUCUAGGGGCCAGAUCAACGAUGGUGAGGCGAUGACACCAUUGAUGGCGUGGAAUAAGGUCUCCUUGUCAUGUCAUAGUUUAGUCAGGGUCAAUUUGGUGCCGGUGGAUGGUGUGUGAAGCUUUCAUCAAAGCUAGGUUAGGGGUCCUGACUUCUCUUCAUUUCAUGUAAAUGGUUUUUGACUGCGUCGUUCGGUGGUGUAAAUGGCGACAAUUCGUGAUUUGGUCCAAUGGCUUCUUCUUCUCUGUUCAACAAAGCAUAUACAAUGUUAAUUUCG